This 119-nucleotide ribosomal RNA is filed under the name Gossypium arboreum. Lineage: Eukaryota; Viridiplantae; Streptophyta; Magnoliopsida; Malvales; Malvaceae. The record is from RNAcentral.
AGGUGCUACAAAACCAGCAUUAAUGCACCCGAUCCCAUCAGAACACCGCAGUUAAGCGUGCUUGGGCGAGAGUAGUACUAGGAUGGGUGACCUCUUGGGAAGUCCUCGUCUUGCACCCA